RNAcentral lists this transfer RNA (71 nucleotides) under Planctomycetota bacterium. RNAcentral's name for it is "tRNA-Asn". Lineage: Bacteria; Pseudomonadati; Planctomycetota. The record is from RNAcentral.
UCCAGCUCAGUUCGUCGAGCUGCCGGUUGUUAGCCGGUUUGUCGCAGGAUCGAGUCCUGCUCGGGGACCCA